RNAcentral lists this Y RNA (78 nucleotides) under Carlito syrichta (Philippine tarsier). Its description in RNAcentral is "Y RNA (ENSTSYG00000023106.2)". It matches the Rfam family "Y RNA". Rfam says of the family: Y RNAs are components of the Ro ribonucleoprotein particle (Ro RNP), in association with Ro60 and La proteins. The Y RNAs and Ro60 and La proteins are well conserved, but the function of the Ro RNP is not known. Lineage: Eukaryota; Metazoa; Chordata; Mammalia; Primates; Tarsiidae. The record is from Rfam by way of RNAcentral.
GGUUGGUGGGAAGGUUGUGGGUUAUUGUCAAGCUGAUUAACAUUGUCUCUCCCCACAAAAAUGCUUGACUAGCUUAAU